UGAUGAUGAAGAUGAGGAGGAAGACAUUGCAGCUAAUGAAAUCUCCAAGCGUGAAAAGGCACGGUUAAAAGAUAUGCAGAGGCGUAAGAAGCAAAAGAUACAGGAAAUGUUGGAUGCGCAGAAUGCUGCAAUAGAAGCUGACAUGAGUAACAAGGGGAAGGGGCGUCUUAAGUAUCUUUUGGAGCAGACAGAGUUAUUUGCACAUUUUGCAAAAGGCGAUCAAUCGACUUCAGAAAAGAAGACAAAAGGAAGGGGCCGUCAUGCGUCAAAGAUAACCGAAGAGGAAGAAGAUGAGGAGUAUCUCAAAGAAGAAGAUGGUGGGCUGUCCGGGAAUACACGGCUAUUGGCACAACCUUCUUGUAUUCAGGGAAAGAUGAGGGAUUAUCAACUUGCUGGUUUGAACUGGAUGAUACGGCUAUAUGAGAACGGCAUAAAUGGGAUACUUGCUGAUGAAAUGGGUCUUGGUAAGACCUUACAAACCAUCUCUUUGCUGGCGUACCUGCAUGAAUUUAGAGGGAUUACUGGUCCUCACAUGGUUGUUGCUCCAAAAUCCACACUAGGCAAUUGGAUGAAUGAAAUCAAACGUUUUUGUCCUAUCAUACGUGCUGUAAAGUUCCUUGGGAACCCUGAAGAAAGGAGAUACAUUCGAGAGGAUUUGCUAGUUGCUGGGAAGUUUGAUGUGUGUGUCACAAGUUUUGAGAUGGCUAUCAAAGAGAAGUCUGCUUUACGACGCUUUAAUUGGCGUUACAUCAUCAUUGAUGAGGCUCAUAGAAUCAAGAAUGAAAAUUCUCUUCUUUCCAAAACCAUGAGGCUCUACAGCACUAAUUAUAGGCUGUUGAUCACAGGGACGCCACUUCAGAAUAAUCUUCAUGAGCUCUGGGCGCUUCUGAACUUUUUGCUACCAGAGAUCUUUAGCUCGGCUGAGACAUUUGAUGAGUGGUUUCAAAUAUCCGGUGAGAAUGACCAGCAGGAGGUGGUCCAACAGCUUCAUAAGGUCCUUCGUCCAUUCCUUCUUAGGAGACUGAAGUCUGAUGUUGAGAAAGGUCUGCCUCCAAAGAAGGAAACAAUUCUCAAGGUCGGUAUGUCUCAGAUGCAGAAAAACUACUAUCGGGCUUUGUUGCAGAAAGAUUUUGAGGUUGUUAAUUCUGGAGGAGAGCGCAAGCGUCUUCUUAAUAUAGCAAUGCAGCUCCGAAAAUGUUGUAAUCAUCCAUAUCUUUUCCAAGGAGCUGAGCCAGGACCUCCAUAUACAACCGGAGAGCAUCUCAUAGAAAAUGCUGGCAAAAUGGUUCUUCUUGAUAAGUUGCUUCCUAAGCUGAAGGAACGAGGCUCAAGGGUUUUAAUAUUUUCGCAGAUGACACGGCUACUGGACAUCCUUGAAGAUUACCUGAUGUAUCGAGGUCACCAGUAUUGUCGGAUUGAUG
RNAcentral lists this unclassified non-coding RNA (1421 nucleotides) under Hevea brasiliensis (rubber tree). Lineage: Eukaryota; Viridiplantae; Streptophyta; Magnoliopsida; Malpighiales; Euphorbiaceae. The record is from RNAcentral.